GGCCCCCUACCUUCUUUGAUCAUUGUCAGUUGAAUCAUGAGGUUCUGAGAGAAAGAGUCGCCAUUUUUAGACCUUUUAUUUUUUUUUUAGGUUUUGAAUUUUGAUGUUGGCUUAAUUAGCUGGAUUGCCACUUGUGAGGCAUUUCUUAGAAUGUGGACAUGUGGUGGGUUUAAGUUGGUUCGGGUUGGCCGGUUGGCGGUUCGUGAGCUUGGUAUUAUUCUUGACGAAUUUCGAUGCUGAAAGACUUGGAAACCAUGCUGUCGACCACGUCGAGAAGCUGAGUAACAUUCUGCUUUUACAAUGGCACCUCUUAAUAAAAGGAACUUAAGCCAUCUAAUCUAGGGCUUCCAUCAAAUCGUGCAGGCUGCAUGGAAGUCGCAUUUACCUUUGUUGUGAACAUCAUGAACACAUACACUAUUUGAAGGUUCAUGUUUACGUAGCAGUGGUGUUGCUGUCCAAUGUGGCGUGUUGUUCCAGCCUAUGGUGGUGAAAGAUAUCUGCAUCAAGUUGCUGUUCCUUGUGCAUCCAAGGUGCUGCUUUUGUGCUACAGAAGUGACAUCCAAUAUUGUGUUUAAUUGCUAUUUGUGUCUUCGCAGUUUACCUUUAUAUAUUGAGA
Molecule: long non-coding RNA, 616 nt
Filed under: Daphnia pulex (common water flea)
Lineage: Eukaryota; Metazoa; Arthropoda; Branchiopoda; Diplostraca; Daphniidae
Description: uncharacterized LOC124203448, transcript variant X4
Source: RNAcentral